GAUGAAGAACGUAGCGAAAUGCGAUAAGUAGUGUGAAUUGCAGAAUUCAGUGAAUCAUCGAAUCUUUGAACGCACAUUGCGCCCUUUGGUAUUCCUUAGGGCAUGCCUGUUCGAGCGUCAUUUAAACCUUCAAGCUCAGCUUGGUGUUGGGUGACUGUCCGCUUCACCGCGGACUCGCCUCAAAAUUAUUGGCGGCCGGUACAUUGGCUUCGAGCGCAGCAGAAACGCGAACUCGGGCCCGUCGUAUUGGCUCCCAGAAGCUAUCUUCACAAUUUUGACCUCGGAUCAGGUAGGGAUACCCGCUGAACUUAAGCAUAUCAAUAAGCGGGAGGA
Molecule: unclassified non-coding RNA, 333 nt
Filed under: soil metagenome
Description: partial contains 5.8S ribosomal RNA, internal transcribed spacer 2, and large subunit ribosomal RNA
Rfam family: 5.8S ribosomal RNA (bases 1-120)
Source: RNAcentral